GCCGCCGCCACCGCCGCCACCGCCGCCGCUCGCUCCUAACGCAGCUUCCAGGAAAGCGGCAUCCGAGAGGCGAUCCGUGGUGCAGGGGAAAAGCAUGCGAGAGGGAAAGUUCGGGGGGAGGGGGGAGGGAAGAAGGGAAGGGAUGGGCCAAGAGAGGGGAUCUUCUCUCUUUUUGGGGGCGGGAGGGGGCCCCAGGGGGUAAUCCUCUUGGGUGCCUCAGCUGGUGCGUUAUGAGGCUGGGUCGUGGGGGGUGGGGUGGGGCGUGUGCGGGGGGGUGGGGUAGGGGCUGGGCUGGGGGGAUCUCGGCUCAAGGGGGUCGGACGCGGCCUCAGUAUUGAUCUCACAAACAGACACGCGCCCGCGGCCCCCCCGCCCCCCGAUCUGCCACCGCCACCGCCACCGCCGCCGCUGCCGCCGCCGCCGCCGCCUCUGCCGCCGCUGUUACCACCACCACCAGCCCCGCCGCUUCCUAGCAAGCUCACUGCUGCCCAAAAGCUCCCAGCCAGGGAACUCCACCAGCCUAUUUAUCUGAGCCCCGGGAAAGCUCCGUGACGUAGCUGCCCAUAUAUGGACAGACAAAGCCCAGCCGAAGGGGCGCGACGUCACAAUGGAAGCUCCUCACAAUGGAACAUUAGAAAGCAGGAAGCGGGCCUCAGCCAACGUGCGGCGCCCGCAACGCUCGCGGCUCUCGAAAAAAAGAGAGAGAAGGGGAGAAGAAAGAAGAAGAAUGUGAGAAGAGAGAGGAAGGAAGGAUACAGCUGAAUGCAAAGCGCAAAGCGCGUAGCGUGGAGUCGAAACACCAGUAACUCAUUAUGGCUGUCCCGAUUGCUGCCUGCCGGCGCUCUGCAGUCUAGGGCGGCUUGUGUGCUGACCCGGAGCGCCGUCACCUCCCGGAGCUGCAGCGGAUCCCGGGGGCGGCUGCUGUGCUCCCUGGGGCCUGCUCCCAAGAUUCCGGUCCCAAGAUUUGCAUAUUUUGGCAUCCAGUGGAAAAGGAAAGAAGAACGGAACCCGCAGCCUUUAAAGGAACCGCACAGGCUGAUCUCUCCCCAGGAGGGGCUGCAGAUUAAGGAGCUAGAAGUCCUCAUCCUGUUCGAUUGGGGCCUGCGUCGGGAAAGGCAGAGGCAGUGGAAGCGUUUGGGCUCCUUAAGCUUCCAGGGCCACAGAGGCGGUGGAGUGCAGCCACUCCCAUCUGGAGGAGACGGCCCACUCCCACCUGGAGGAGACGGCCCCCUCCCCUGACCCUUUUCAGCUCGCUGGACCUGUUGCUCCCAAGGAGAAGAGCAUGGGGCAAAGUUUGCCAACCUGCGCCAGGGCCUGCUUACCGGGCAGCAAGAUUGGAUAGGAGUCUGGAGACAUGAUUCCUCCCCUCUCCUUUCUACUAGUUCUUUGCAUAAAACGGGAGCCUUCAGUUCAAUUAAAUAGUCUUCAUUAAAGCUUCAUUGUGACCUUGGGCAAACGUCUGUAUUUUUUUCUUAGCCUCAGUUUCCUCAUCUGUAAAUUGGGAUAAUAACAGUAUAUACCCUUUAGGAAGAAUUAAAUUUGAUAAUCCUCAUAGAGUACUUUCCAGUUCCUUAAGAAAGCACCCAAUAAACAGCAGUUAUUGUUAAACUAUUCUUCCUCACCCUGCCAUGUGACAGACAGGCCCUUCCCUCCUGUGCAUGGCAGGAGUAAAUUUAGAUGAUACAGGUACUAAAAAGGCCAGGUAUGGAACUUCAUCACAGAGCAGCAUGAUCAUAUGCAAGAAGUGUUAAUGUUUAUUAUUUAGGGGGAAAAGGAAAUUCCUCUGUGUGUGUGGUAUCUCCUGGGCACUGUCUAGGGAUGGUUAAGGAAUGGUCCUGGGUAUUCAAGAGCCCAGACACCAAGUGAGCCCUCAAAAGCUGGUGGUGACACAAAGCAGGGUUCAAAGAAGUCACUCAGUUGCUCUCUAACACUCUGGAGCAGGCUUUCAGACAUUUUUGGGAGGUGGUGUAGCCCCUGGAGUGGGAGGGAGCCUUUCCUUCUCUCCUCUGUUAGAAGGAACCAUGCUGGGGAAAGCCUGCCCCACAAGGUUAGGCCCUCAGUACUCGGUGCCUGUUCGAGUUGUGGCCUGCACAGAUGUCCCCUGUCACCCUGGAGGACUGUGGCAGAUGGAGUCCAGGGUUCUGUGGCAGGAGGGGACAACGCUGGGUGUGGAGCAGGAGUGGGGUGUUGGAGUGGCUGCUUUGUAAAUGAAUCGCAUUCUCCCUUCUGGUUGCCAAGCCUUAGAAUAGAAAAAAGUUCUCCUCUUUCCCUUCUUCCCUCCUGGUUUCCUCUCUUUCUCCUGAACAGGAGCUGAAGGUGUUUGUCUGGUUUACUGGCGGGCUCAGGUGAGACAGCCCAGGGCCUAAUUACCUGAACUCUAAGCCCUGAACUUGCUAGGGAGCGAGUAGGCACUGGUUCAGGGUGGCCUUAUCCUGGAGGUGGCGAAAGGCAGGCCGGCUCCUCUGCAGCAGAGCCAGAACCGCCAGCUCUGGCUUCUGUCUCCUAUGGAGUCCAACUCAUCAGCUGUACUUAUGGGGAAUACGGCUGCUUGUCCUGGGCAUGGGUGUGUUUGUCUUGAUUAAGGACAAAGGAGGGAGGAGAAGUGGCCCCUGAAAUCUACUGUAGAAAAAUGCAAAGUGACAGCUCUGUCUUGGUCUUGUUUUAUAGUCACCUCUGCCCUCUGAACUUUAGCUGCCCUGUUUGCUAAAGAUAUCUAGUCCUUCUCUGCUAUCCUAGAAUAAAGAACUCCCCACACCCUGAAUUAAUUCAAUCUGGGGUGUGAGCAAUCUAAUGCAUUGCCCUUCUCAGAGGGUGUGUGCCUUUUAAAGGAAAAUGCUUGGGGAGGGUGAUAUACAGCCCAGAAGAAUCAAGCCCAAUACUUAGCAUGAUGGCUGGAAAGUGGCAGGCGCCCAUGAAUGCUGGUGGAAUCACAUCUGGUUGUGGCAUAUCAGAGUCAAGGAGCAGGAGACUUGGGGUGCAGAGAGUGUCUGGGUUCCUCCAAUCACACCAAGCACCUGUGUAUGGGGCCCAGCCUGGUGGGACUGCUCCUGAAUGGCUGUUCUCUUGAGGGUCCUCAGUUGUUUUCCAAAUUGGGGUGUGACACAG
Long non-coding RNA from Callithrix jacchus (white-tufted-ear marmoset), 3105 nucleotides. The record is from Ensembl. Lineage: Eukaryota; Metazoa; Chordata; Mammalia; Primates; Cebidae.